Long non-coding RNA from Anolis carolinensis (green anole), 2007 nucleotides. The record is from Ensembl. Lineage: Eukaryota; Metazoa; Chordata; Lepidosauria; Squamata; Anolidae.
UUCUUCCGUUUGCUGAGAUGGCUUUUAACGGGGCCGUACAUUCGGCCACAGGUCGUGCCCCAUUCGAAAUAGUAUACGGACAGGAGGUGGCACCUUUCCCCAGGCUACCCGAGUGGAAGGAAGGAGAGGGCCAGACCGACAAGGAAUGGCCGGCCAAAAUUAAGCAAGGGUGGCAGACCGUGGUGGAGGCAUUGAGGGAAACACAAAAGAAGUACAAGCUCUUUGCAGAUCGCAGGCGCCGAGAGGGGGACAAAUUGGGCGAAGGAGAUCUGGUUUGGCUGAGCACAAAAAACCUGAAAUUGGGGUUCCCAUCUAAGAAAUUGGCUCCACGCUAUAUAGGGCCGUUCAGGGUAGCGAAAAGAAUAAACGAAGUGACCUAUGAGCUGAAGCUACCCAAGGACCUAGGGAAGGUACACCCGGUAUUCCAUUGCAGCCUGUUAAAAAAAUAUUUUAUUUGUCCAUUUCUUGCACUUGAAGUACUCUUCAAUGACAUCUUUAGCCUGAGAUUCUUUGCCAUAGUCUUUCACAACCACACAACUGCAGCCCACAACUUUGCGGGGUUUUGCUUCUCUGUCAAUGGGAUGGGAUGAAUGUUGUAAUAUGAACAAGCUUUUCCAAUAAAAUAUUGGAAUUCUUGAAUGUGAUCACUCUCAUUCUGAAAAACAGAUCCCCUUUCCAGGAUGGCUCCAUAGUUCCAAUCCUUGAAGUCCUAUUUCUCUCCCUGCUCUUGCUCCCCAAGGAACUGUGGGUUGGGUACUUGGACUUCAGGGCAAUCCCUUAUAUGUGGACCUGUCACUGUGUUGUUGUGUUGGGCUCACUGUGGUAUGACCAGCUUCUCCAGCAAGCCUAAUAAGAGAUGGGGAUAAAACAAAGAAGUGGAAGUUUAUUAAAAUUCAUACAAAUAAUAUCUACGAACCAUUGAAUCCUCAAUUAGCUCUUGAACCCCUAAAUCUCUAAAACUAUCGUAAACUCUGUUCUGCCUCUAUUCCAAAUUUUCCCUAGUUAGAUAUGUAAGUAGGCAGAUAGAGAGAUAGAUGAUACAUUUGUUCCAUGGGAAGAGCACAGGAAUCUUCCCACAAGUGGUCAUUGUGCCUCAGCAGUAUCAUGGCCUGGGAAUGAUGAGAGUUGUAGUCUUUUAAAUCCAGAUGGCCCACAAUUGGGACAGGCUGCUUUAAAGAAAGGUAUAAUAGUCUAAGCAUCUUCUUUGCAAGAGUUAUGUGAUUUUGUUGAGGGGCAAAAUAGAUCUAAGCCCUUUAGGGUUUUGUCACAUGGGAAUCUAUAAGGCUUAACAAAUUCCUUCUUGUCAAUUUCUUUGCAAUCUUCAGAGAGAAAGUGCCACCUUUUUUACCUCCCCUUAAAUAUGUUUUAGCUGUGGAACAGAUUGAGAAGGUCUGCAAUUAGGUGUGCACAGGUGGCAUUAUCUUCUGCAGAGUCUUUAUUUCAAGCUGAGGCCAAGCAGCUGUGAUGUUGCACAUACACAUAUUUACAUAGAAGAAUAUAAACAAGGCUUAGCAAGAGGGCAUUUUGCAGAGUUUGGGAAAGUUACUUUUCAGACUCUGAAUUUUAGAAUCCCCAGCUAGAUCAAAACAAAAGGAAUUGCAACCCAAACAAACCCACAUAUUUAAAAUCCAGUUAAAAACCCAUGAAUAAAAAAAACCCCACCAACACCCAAACAGAUAGUGCUCCACUCUUACCAGCUAGCUUAGAGGACAGUGGUCUUACUGGAUAGAAGUGCCUUUAAGUGUUGGCAGAAGGACAAAAAAAUGGAAUCACAUCUUCUAGGAGAGCAAUGGUUCUCAACCUGUGGGUUCCCAGAUGUUUUACCCUUCAACUCCUAGAAAUCCUAACACCUGGUAAACUAGCUGGGAUUUCUGGGAGUUGUAGGCCAAAACACCAAGGGACCCACAGGUUGAGAACCACUGCAGUAGAAAAUCCCAAAGCUUUGUGUAGUGAUUUGAGCAUUGGACUACAGGUCUGGAGACCAGGAUUUGAUUUCCCAUUUGGCCU